AAUAGGUAGUCCUACUUCUUUAGUUUUUCAUAUAAAAAAGGCGUUCAACAAAUUUAUGUACAUUAUUAGUGACAAUCAUAUGUUAAGAAAUGACAAGCACGAGCAAAGGGGUGGAAAUAAGGAUAGAAAUAAGGAUAGGAAUAAGGAUAGGAAUAAGGAUAGGAAUAAGGAUAGGAAUAAGGAUAGAAAUAAGGAUAGAAAUAAGGAUAGAAACGUGGAUAGAAACAUGGAUGAAAACAAAAAACAAAAAGCGAAAAAAAAAAGGCAAAAAAAAAGAAGGAGAAAAAAAAAAUAUAUAUACGAACGACGUCACACAUAAUAAUAAAGACAAAUCCGAUGAUACAUUACAGAAAAGAGAAACAAACGAAGACCAACACCUAUAUUUAAAUAGCACUAAUAAAGAUUUUUCGUUAAAUUUUUUAAACUAUUAUAGUGAUGACUCUUUAAUAAAUGAAAAAGAUGACAUAAUGGCUAAUCGAAUGUAUGUUAUACGUUUGUUAAAUGAUUAUGAUUUAUCAUAUACAAACGAAUCAUUGUACGAUCAAGAUAGUCAUUUGCGUAGUAUAAAGCAAAAUAUGUAUUGCGAUGGAGAUAAUAUGAUAAUUAGAAAGAGAAGGAGUAGUGGUAGUGGUAACAGUAGUGGUCGUGAUAGUGGUAACAGUAGCAGUAGCAGUAGCAGUAGUAGUAGUAGUAGUAGUAGCAAUAGUAGUAGCAAUAGUAGGCGUUUUGAAUAUUAUAGAAAUAGCAUCGGUAGUAAUAUUAGUAGCUGUUCUGAUAGUAGUUGUAGUAGUGGAAAUUACAACGCAUUUAAAUACAAAUUAAAAACACGUAACAAUAAUAGUGUAGAUAAUUCAAAUUAUUUUAACAACUUAUUAUACAAUAGUAAUAAUAAAAACAACAAAGAGUUGCAAAGUUUGGUGAUAGAUAAUAACAUGUCUAUACAUUCGUCUGAUAUGGACAAAAUCCAGAAUGUGAACUCGUUAAAUAAGAAAGAAGGUCUUCGUAAUGAACGAUUGGAUAAUGGAAAAAUAAUGUGUAACAACACAACGGAUUCAAAAUUACAUAAAGAUGAUAACGACGCAUAUUGUAACAACACAACACAUGUAUUAUUAAAAAGAAAUGAAAUCAAUAAAUGUCAAAAAAGUAACAAAAGUAAACGUAAUGACAAGUAUGGAGAGGAGGAAGAGUCACCUCUUAUGUGUAGUAAAAAUAAUAGACUUAAAAAAUAUAAUACGAUGAUAAAAUCGAAAAAAGUAAAAAAGAUGGUUUUGCACUUUUUCAAAAAUACUUGUUUAAGCAUAUACUACAUUUUUUUUAAAAUAAAACUAAUUUGUAUAGGUACGUAUGUUUUGCUAUUUGACCUUAUGUUGUCAUUAUUGUUUUCAUUUAAUAUGAUUUUACAUUCGCUCAUAAGCAUAAUUGAUAAAAUAAGCAUAAAUGAUAGUAACACAUUAUUUAUCUUGUUUAAUAAAAAAAAUGAAUCUAAAAGAAAAGUGAUGAUUAGUAGUGUCGAAGAAAAUGAUACUCAAUUAAGCAUAAAAAAUUUAUUUUAUUAUUAUAUAAGUAUAUAUGUUAAUAUUGCUGUUUUAAUUUAUUACACUUUGUUUUAUAAUAUAAGAAGAAAAAACAAAAAGCCAUUUUUAAGCAAUAGAAAUGUUUUGAAAAAUCAGGUCAAAAAAGGAAUAAAAAAAAAAAACCAGACAAAAUUAUCGUACGUUACGAAUUUUUUUUUAAACAUAAUAUAUGUUAUAAAUAUAUUUGUAUUUGGUCAUCUAAUUUCUGUAUUCCUAUUACUCUUAACAAUUAAUAACUUGUUUCAAAGUAUUUUCAAAUGUUGUAUAGAUUUGGUUUAUCGACAAAGAAAAGACAAUUUUUUAAACUUUUUAAAUGUUAAUAAUAUAAAUCACAUAAAUAUAUUUAUUUAUAUAAAAAUAAAUCAAAUUUUAAAUAAAUACAUACACUUAAAAAAACCUUUCAAUUAUUUAUUAACACAUCAAAACCUGACUAGCUUACAAACUUUAAAAAAUAAUAGCUUUUUUGUUUAUACAAAAGAUUUGUUUUUUUUUAUUAAAGAAAAUAGUAUA
RNAcentral lists this long non-coding RNA (2084 nucleotides) under Piliocolobus tephrosceles (Ugandan red Colobus). Its description in RNAcentral is "lncRNA (ENSPTEG00000000636.1)". The record is from RNAcentral. Lineage: Eukaryota; Metazoa; Chordata; Mammalia; Primates; Cercopithecidae.